GUUUUGUAUCCUUGACAGAAAUUUCUUUCAGAUUUUGUAAAAUUGUUUUUAUUAUGUAUACCAAAUGCAUUUCUGUAGCUUCAGCAAAAUGAGUUAAUGUUCUAUAAAACCAAUGCAUCUCUUUAGCUACAGGAGACUAAUGAAUAACAAAAGAUUUUAUUAUCCUUGUUUCCUCAUGCAUUAUUUCACUAGAUUUUGUUAUUCUCAUUAGUUGCUCUGAUAGAUAAAAGUCCAGAAUAUGAACAACAAUUGAAAUGAUGGCAUAUUGGCAUAUGAAAAGGAAGCUGAAAACUAGAUUUAGAUGAUAUUUUGUCUUGUAUACACAAUUCAUGCUUGAUUGCUAAUUAUUUAUCUCCUUAUAGGGCGGUAAGAGUAGUAAACAAAUGAGUACAAUCAUACAAAUAAUGUCGUGUCCAUUUGUUUAUUGUUCUAGAUGAAAAAUAGGCUUCAUUUCAUAACACUGUAAUGUUGUUUACAUCUUGAAGCCAGAACCCAAUAGUUCCAGCAACCCUUGCCUUAUGGGAAAGGUCAUAUGUGUUGUCCCUUCUUACCCGAAUCUGAGAAAAUCGAGAAGGUCCAGGUGAUCUAUGAGGCUACGAGAGGUGUAUUGAAGAACAUUUUAUGGCACACCCUAUAUUAAAAGAGCGCAUUGAUUCAGAAUUCUGUUUCUUCAUAGUCAUUACCGAGUAUUUGCGGAAAUCUGAAAUUGUCGAUUUAUUUCUGAGUUGAUGCUACCGUGGCAUCAACUUACUCAAUUCCACUGACCCUGCAAGCCACAGGUGAAUUGCUCCCAUCUAUGAUUUAUUCAUGAUGAAUCUUGAAUGCAUAUAUGAUGCUUUUAUUGUUCUUGUUUUGACCAUCUGGUAGUAAUUUAUGCCUCCUGAGUUUUUACAUAAUGAGACCACCUGAUAGGGUCAUAUGUCUUUUGGAGUGUUUCUGCUUCUGUGUGAAAUUGGAGCUUUCUGUUUAUAAUCUUUUAUUUGGUUGUUUGAUCUGGUGUAUAAAUCCUAAGAAAGGUAUCAUGUACUUCAGUAUAUGCUUGUGUUUAUGAAAUUUACCAUGAUCACCAUGAGUAUGAGUAGUUUGCCAUAUUGUAAUCCAUGGACAUAUACAUAGCAGCGUGAGACAAUAUUGUGUAAAUAACACAAGCAGUCAUUUCACUAAGUCUAAAAACCUCAAUAGCCAUAAUCCGAUCACCUGGCUUGAGUAAUGUCUUGCUUUUGCCAUUUGCGCCGGUGCGCAACCGGUCAUCUAUGGCAUGUAUGUUCUGUUUUCUCAGCUGUAUAUUUGAUUGUAGUUCUUUUUGUAUUUGUUUGAUAGGCUUAUUAUCGGAGAAAUCGGCGGUAAUGAUGCAUAGUGAUCUUGGUAUGCAAGUAUGAUCAGGAUCUGGUGUAUUCUUACUGAAGGAAAUGACUCUACUUCAAUUGUAAUUAUUGUAUGUGUUGAUGGCACCCAAAAAGUAACAUGAUAUUUAUAUACAUUUAUUUCUCUUUGCUAUGAACAAAUGGCUGGAUGCAACAAAUGAUGCUCCUGGUAUGUACAUGUGUUAUCUGUAGGCAGUUGCUUGGAAGUUUUUAUUUUCUUUUAAAAGAAUUGCUUAUACAAGCUUAAGGGCUCUCAAAAACAUGCUGAAUUGUUGGAAAACUAAACAGACUUAAAACUUAUGUUUUUAUUUUCUUUAAAA
This is a long non-coding RNA of Lolium perenne, 1684 nucleotides long. RefSeq lists it as uncharacterized. Lineage: Eukaryota; Viridiplantae; Streptophyta; Magnoliopsida; Poales; Poaceae. The record is from RefSeq and is a predicted model, not a curated record.